Molecule: ribosomal RNA, 468 nt
Filed under: uncultured bacterium
Lineage: Bacteria
Description: partial 16S ribosomal RNA
Rfam family: Bacterial small subunit ribosomal RNA
Source: RNAcentral
GACGAACGCUGGCGGCGUGCUUAACACAUGCAAGUCGAACGGAAAGGCCCUGCUUUUGUGGGGUGCUCGAGUGGCGAACGGGUGAGUAACACGUGAGUAACCUGCCCUUGACUUUGUGAUAACUUCAGGAAACUGGGGCUAAUACCGGAUAGGAGCUCCUGCUGCAUGGUGGGGGUUGGAAAGUUUCGGCGGUUGGGGAUGGACUCGCGGCUUACCAGCUUCUUGGUGGGGUAGUGGCUUACCAAGGCUUUGACGGGUAGCCGGCCUGUGAGGGUGACCCGGCACCAUGGGACUGAGGGAGGGACCAGAAUGCAACCGGACGCAACGGGGGGGAAUAUUGCACAAUGGGCGGAAGCCUGAUGCAGCAACGCCGCGUGCGGAAUGACGUCCUUCGGGUUGUAAACCGCUUUCGCCUGUGACGAAGCGUGAGUGACGGUAAUGGGUAAAGAAGCACCGGCUAACUACGUG